This 484-nucleotide ribosomal RNA is filed under the name uncultured bacterium. Its description in RNAcentral is "partial 16S ribosomal RNA". It matches the Rfam family "Bacterial small subunit ribosomal RNA", at positions 30 to 507 of the family's 1533-position model. The record is from RNAcentral.
AUUGAACGCUGGCGGCAGGCCUAACACAUGCGAGUCGAGCGGAUGAAGGGAGCUUGCUCCUGGAUUCAGCGGCGGACGGGUGAGUAAUGCCUAGGAAUCUGCCUGGUAGUGGGGGAUAACGUCCGGAAACGGGCGCUAAUACCGCAUACGUCCUGAGGGAGAAAGUGGGGGAUCUUCGGACCUCACGCUAUCAGAUGAGCCUAGGUCGGAUUAGCUAGUUGGUGGGGUAAAGGCCUACCAAGGCGACGAUCCGUAACUGGUCUGAGAGGAUGAUCAGUCACACUGGAACUGAGACACGGUCCAGACUCCUACGGGAGGCAGCAGUGGGGAAUAUUGGACAAUGGGCGAAAGCCUGAUCCAGCCAUGCCGCGUGUGUGAAGAAGGUCUUCGGAUUGUAAAGCACUUUUAGUUGGGAGGAAGGGCAGUAAGUUAAUACCUUGCUGUUUUGACGGUACCAACAGAAUAAGCACCGGCUAACUUCGUG